Molecule: long non-coding RNA, 417 nt
Filed under: Volvox carteri
Lineage: Eukaryota; Viridiplantae; Chlorophyta; Chlorophyceae; Chlamydomonadales; Volvocaceae
Description: long non-coding RNA (VCAR_LNC002697)
Source: RNAcentral
UACGUUGAUGGGUAGCGUGUGAGUGCACGGCAAGCGUAUGAAAACGAAAUCUCUGGCCAGUUUUCUGGAACAUUGCAACAAUGAUCAACUACCCUUUCUAUGCUUUCCCUUGCCCGAUUAUAUCCCCGAGCCAACAUUUAUGCUGUGCCAGGUACGACGACACGCCGCAUACUCAUGGCUCUGGUAGCGUAUAUCACAUGCCCGUGCUUGCCUUGCGCGGAGGGGAUUGGCAAUUGUGUGCUGCAGCAGCAAGCACGUGCACUUUACAAGAAGCUGCAUAUCUAAAGAGACGAUUAUGUCCAAAACAUGCACCCUGCAGAAAGCCGGACUUUGGCCGCACGUGGCGACGUGCACUAAAAAUGAAAACUACUGCACGCGCUGUCAUCUUUGCUACACAGGAACACAUGUCGCGGUUAU